AGGAGAUCUAACACAACAUCCACACCAGGCAGAUGCCAGGAGCAGCCAACCACAACCUCCAGCUAUCACUCUCAUCAAGCACCAAGAGCCCCAGUCACAUCAGCAGUCUCCUGAGGCUGUCCUCGCCCUCAACGUCGCCGCCGUCAUAGCUCAUAUCAAACUCCAGAGACAACUGAGCCUGAGGAAGACAACACCACAUGACCUUUCUACACAGGACUCAAGGUCACCCACAACACCGGAGGGGGGAAAAGCACUGGUGAAGGAUGCUGGUGGUUGUGUGCGACACAGGACUGAUGACAACAGACUAGACCCUGGUAAGACCACCAGAACCACACACAUUGAUGUUGGGUUUAUUCCCCUGAAUUCUGACUCUGACCCGGAAACAAGCAACGCCAACAUUCCAUC
Long non-coding RNA from Oncorhynchus nerka (sockeye salmon), 405 nucleotides. RefSeq lists it as uncharacterized. The transcript has 3 exons. The record is from RefSeq and is a predicted model, not a curated record. NCBI's taxonomy places the organism in Eukaryota, Metazoa, Chordata, Actinopteri, Salmoniformes, Salmonidae.